AAAAAAAUGGUUUAAUGGUAUAACUCUUCCUUAGGGUGGGAGAGGUCCUAGGUCCGAUUCCCAGUGAGCCCAAUUCUUUG
Molecule: non-coding RNA, 80 nt
Organism: Massospora cicadina
Lineage: Eukaryota; Fungi; Entomophthoromycota; Entomophthoromycetes; Entomophthorales; Entomophthoraceae
Source: the annotation of a GenBank genome assembly